AACGCUGGCGGCGCGCCUAACACAUGCAAGUCGAACGAGAAAGCGGGGGCAACCUCGCGAGUAAAGUGGCGUACGGGUGAGUAACACGUGGGUAAUCUACCCUUUAGUGGGGAAUAACGCUGGGAAACCGGCGCUAAUACCGCAUAAUCCCGGGAGGGGAAAGCAGCAAUGCGCUGAAGGAGGAGCCCGCGGCCGAUUAGUUAGUUGGUGGGGUAAAGGCCCACCAAGGCGAAGAUCGGUAGCCGGCCUGAGAGGGCACACGGCCACACUGGCACUGAAACACGGGCCAGACUCCUACGGGAGGCAGCAGUGGGGAAUCUUGCACAAUGGGGGAAACCCUGAUGCAGCGACGCCGCGUGAGCGAUGAAGCCCUUCGGGGUGUAAAGCUCUUUCGGCAGGGACGAUAAUGACGGUACCUGCAGAAGCAGCUGCGGCUAACUACGUGCCAGCAGCCGCGGUAAUACGUAGGCAGCAAGCGUUGUUCGGAGUUACUGGGCGUAAAGGGUGCGUAGGCGGUCCUUUAAGUUUGGUGUGAAAUCUCCCGGCUCAACUGGGAGGGUGCGCCGGAUACUGAAGGGCUCGAGUGCGGGAGGGGAGAGUGGAAUUCCUGGUGUAGCGGUGAAAUGCGUAGAUAUCAGGAGGAACACCUGCGGUGUAAACGGCUCUCUGGACCGUAACUGACGCUGAGGCACGAAAGCGUGGGGAGCAAACAG
RNAcentral lists this ribosomal RNA (713 nucleotides) under uncultured Acidobacteriota bacterium. RNAcentral describes it as "bacterial SSU rRNA". It matches the Rfam family "Bacterial small subunit ribosomal RNA", at positions 32 to 775 of the family's 1533-position model. The record is from RNAcentral. Lineage: Bacteria; Pseudomonadati; Acidobacteriota.